GCUGACGCCGACGCGCAGCCGCGGCGUGCUGUCAUGUCAUCCUGUGUUGGGGGUUACUGUUGGCGGGAGAUUCCAGCAUGGCAGUCCAACCGACUGAAAGCUGUCUAUGGACAGCGGCUUCCUCAGCUUUUACUUCAGCAUGCCGGAUACCACCUUGCGGGUGUUCGGCAGGAGCGACUUCUACACCUUCGCCGCCAAGGAGGUCUUCAAGACCAAUGGGCUUAUCAAGGAACAAGAAAUUGGAGAGCGUGGUAAUCGGUAAAAUUAACUUUGAGUCUGUUGUGAGAGAUCUGCUUAUUGUUCGUCAGUAUCAGGUGGAAGUUUACAAAAAAAAUCAAAUCCUCCAAUGACUGGCACUUGGCAUUUAAGAUUGUCCAGAGAGGUGGGUUUCUGAUCACGAACAGGAAAUGGGCAGAGCUCACUACAAAGGACAGCAUGCCGUUUGUUGAAAGCCAAGAAAGGUGGACAAGUCAAUAGUGCUGCAUUACCAGAGAUAGAUGCUCCCGACUGAUGCCAGUAGCGGAGGGGCCGCAGAUGCUCCCCGACUGAUGAUGCCUCCGUAGCGGGCGGGCCACUUAUGCUCCCCGACUGAUGAUGCCUCCGUAGUGGGUGGGCCACUAAAGCUCCCUGACUGAUGAUGCCUCCGUAGUGGGCGGGCCACUGACGCUCCCUGAUUGAUGAUACCUCCGUGGCGAGCCACUGACGCUCCCCGACUGAUGCCUCCGUAUCGGGCGGGCUGAUGAUGCUUCCCUAGCGGGCGGACCUCUGACGGGCGGGUUACUGACGCUCCCGGACUGAUGUUGCCUCCGUAGCGGGCGGGCCACAGAUGCUCCCCGACUGAUGUUGCCUCCGUAGCGGGCGGGCCACUGACGCUCCCCGACUGAUGCCUCCGUAUCAAUAGUGCUGCAUUACCAGAGAUAGAUGCUCCCGACUGAUGCCAGUAGCGGAGGGGCCGCAGACGCUCCCCGACUGAUGAUGCCUCCGUAGCGGGCGG
Rana temporaria (common frog) is the source of this 994-nucleotide long non-coding RNA. RefSeq lists it as uncharacterized. The transcript has 3 exons. The record is from RefSeq and is a predicted model, not a curated record. NCBI's taxonomy places the organism in Eukaryota, Metazoa, Chordata, Amphibia, Anura, Ranidae.